Molecule: long non-coding RNA, 8144 nt
Filed under: Malus domestica (apple)
Lineage: Eukaryota; Viridiplantae; Streptophyta; Magnoliopsida; Rosales; Rosaceae
Description: long non-coding RNA (MDOM_LNC011115)
Source: RNAcentral
UUUUUUUUUUUUUUUUUGGGAAAACUUUUUAUACUAGGCAUUGCCGUGGUAAUUUGUAAUCCACAGGACGUGGUGUUAGAUCCCAAUCUACCACAGGCACAAUCUUUCGUUAAAUUAUAUUUGACAACGGGUAUAUCCAUAAUAGAAAUUAAGACUUUUUAUCACGCUAUAAUACUAACUGACAAAGUACCCAUACUGAAUUGCAAUCUAUCAUAGGCAUCCACAUGAUAGAUAAACUUUUUUUUUUCCUUCUAAUACUCAUUACCAUAACCCACAAGAAACCGAAAGUUUUCCAAACACUAGCGCACUAAAAAUAUCAAGGGUCAAUGCCAACGAUACAUCAUUCCAUAACUUUCUUUACAAAGGGUUAUACUAAAAAGUCAAUCAUGGUACUAUUCACUUUACCUUUUAUUUUGUCCUUAUCGUUAAAACUCAAAGUUUUAAAACUUUUUUCAUUAGUUUUCCUUUUUUUUUUAAACAUUUUUAGGUCAUGUAUAGUAUUUAUUAGGAAAUUUUAACGAAAAACUCCCGGUACUAUUCAUUUUAACGAAAAACCAUAUUUUUAUACUAAAAAGUCAAUCAUGGUACUAUUCAUGUUCCCUUUAUUUUGUCUUUAUCGUUAAAACUCAAAGUUUUCAAGCCAUUUUCAUUAGUUUUCCUUAUUUAUUAUUCUUAAAAUCAAAUUUUCUUUUUUUUAAACAAUAAUUAUUAAUGUAAUUUAGUUGUAUCUGACCUUUUCAUGGCAAAGUGUGUACAGACUAGAGAACCCACAUCCAUAUAACAUGCUUCCCACAAACAAAUAUAUUAAAUUUGGACAGACAACGUGCCCAAUUCUUAUGUAUUAGGUGGUUUGCAGAAGAAAAUAUCGAGUUAGAAUAAUAUACCAUCUUUUGUUUGUUGUUGUUUUAGGUCAAGUGGGAUUUAAUUAAGGAAAUUUUAACAAAAAGUUUCUGGUACUGUUCAUUUUAACGAAAAAUUACAUUUUUAUACUAAAAAGUCAAUUAUAGUACUAUUCACUUUACCUUUUAUUUUAUCCUUAUCGUUAAAACUCAAAAUUUUUAAAUAUUUUUCAUUAGUUUUCUUUUUAAUUAAUCAAUCGAUUAGACCUAUAACAUGGGCCCAAAAGAAUUAGAAAAAGACUGACUUAGUACACCAGGUGGAAACAAAAACCGUAAACAACAAAGAGCACCUUACAUGCAAAAUGUAGCAAUUUUUUUAAUAUUGAUAAAGGAGAACAUAUUUUAAUAUACCAGCCACUAUUAUUAUGGUUUAAUUGUUUUUCUCUUUGUUUUUAGUAAAAAAAUCUUAAAUUCGAGUUCUUUAUAUGGUGAGUUCGAUAACACAAAAUAUUAUGACAGAUCAUUAUAUAGCUUAGCCAAAUCCCGCACUCCAUAAUGUCAAAAUAUUGUUGUAUUAAGAGAAAAAAAACUACCACUUAUAAUUUGACAAAUAAGGUCUGAGUAAAUUGUAGCAAUGGUCCCUUAAUUUUAACCAAAUUGGAGCAAUGGUCUCUCAACUAAAAAUUCAUUACCAUUGGUCUCUCAACUCAUCAAAACGUGCAGCUAUGAUAAUUUUCGUCAACUCCAUUAAACUUCCAUCAAAAUGAGUCACGUGCCAUGCACGUGCAGCUAAAUCAAGAGGCAAAUAUGAGAAAUAAAAAAAAUUGUAUCAAUGGUCCCUCAAUUUUAAUCAACUGGAGAAAUGGGCCCUCAAUUUUAACCAAAUUGGAGCAAUGAUCCCUCAAUUUUAACCCAAUUGUAGUAAUGGUCUUUCCAACAUAACUCAUUUUGACAAUAUUCUGACAGAGUUGAAGAAAAUGACCAUAGCUACAUGUUUUGAUGAGUUGAGGGACCAAUGAUAAUGAAUUUUUAGUUAAGAGACCAUUGCUCCAAUUUUAUUAAAGUUGAGAAACCAUUGCUACAAUUUACUCAUAAGGUCUACAACCAUCCAAACAAAUAUGAAAUUAUCAAUCAAUAUACAUCACUUACCAGCAGUAGUGGAGCCAACUUGGAAUUGAUGGCUACUCAUGACCUUAAUAGCUUCCUAAACUCACAUAUUUGUUGAUAAAUCUAUCGUCCCCAACUAAAGAGAAAGUGUACAACGUUGAACUACAACCUAUUAUUACUUCUUCCUUCUCCAACUUUCUUUUUUCAUUCCCAUGCCUUCCUUUUCUUUUUUUUCUUGUGUGCAAUCCAAUGGUGCGCACCACAGACGUAAUGCUUCACUCAAAAAGUCUUGGCAGACAAGUCUUGACAGUCUGCUAGCUUGGGCGUAUCUUGAUGGAUGUAGAUGCUAGAAAAAAAAACAACAGCUAACGAUAGAUGUCAUCACAAGUUUUCGACAAAUGUUAGUAAAUUUUGAUAGGUGCCCACCAGAAGCUCGACGGAAUGGUGCAAUGAAUUUUUUUAGUCGAAAUCAUGACUUAUCGUAAAAUUAUGGCUUCACCACUGCUUACCAGCUUAUUAAUUGAAUUCUCUUGUAAAGAAGCCUAGUUAGUAAGGAUGGUGUAUUCAAUUGAGAAUUUGAGAGAUUUUAAUGGAUUUAUAAAUCCAUGGAUUUUUAUGGAAUUUAAUUGAUUUGUAGAGAUUCUAUAUAAAAUUUUGAUUCAAUUCCCUCGAAAUCUCAUAGGGAGAGGUGAGAUUUGUGGAUGCUUAAAAUACACUAUGAAAUCUCUCAAAUUCUUUCUAAUUCCUCAACUUUCUCAAAUUCUUUAAAAUCAAUUUCUAAUUGAACAUACUUGGAAUGUUAUAAACUUCUUUAAAAUCAUAGUUGAAUACAUCCGGAUUUCUAAGGAUUUUAAUAAACUAUCUUAAAAUUCCAAUUGAAUACAUCUUGAAUUUCAGAGAAUCACUUAAAAUCUUGAUUGAAUACCCCUAGAUUCAUUAAAAGAAUUAAAAUCCCUCAAAAUCCCAAUUGAAUACACCCCCCCUAAAUUUACGUAGUUAUUAAUACAUGUAUUAUACACUUACGCACAUAUAUUUUGUUAAAAAUACUCUUAUUUUUUGUGUACAUCUCAAUGCUUCGUUAAAUUAUACAACGUAUAAUAUAGUUUAUACAUGUAUGUACAUACAUUUUGAAAUUUUAAUUAUGGCCAAAAUACUUUGGGAAAUUUGGAAAACUAACCAAAUUUUGGACCCUAAAUAGAAUUCUAGCCACCUUUUUAAAUUAUGAUAAUUAUAACCAAAAGUUGAUAUGAAAGUAUUAAUACACCUUUCAAAUAUAGUUUUCUCAAAAAAACAAAAAAAAAAUGUCAUCCAUGGAAAUUAAACAAAGCAAGAUUCAAUUAAGAUAAGGAGAUUCGAAAUAAAAUUGAAUAAGUUCAAAGUCACCCGUGCUCCUUGAAGUUCCUUAAACAACCCAAAACCCCAAUUCAAUCAUAGAAGAAAACAAAAUCCAAAGUUCAACCUUCGGAGAAAAUGAGAGAAAAAGAGAAGGGACCAUCGCAUUUUGGGCUUUUCACCAACGAUUUGGUUUUGGAGCUGAUCUUAGAAGUGGAGGUCCCAAUUGAGGGGCUAAGAUGUUGAGGAUGGGCAGCAAACACUGAAGUGAGCGAAGGCCUCGUUGUAAGCCUGGAGGUGCAAGUGCUCGAACUCAAGGAUUAUAUCGUCGUAGUUGAAAAUCAGAAAUUAGAGAGCAGAAGAGGAAGCUGACUGAGACUGAGAGUGAGAGUCAUCUUCAUGUGGAGGAGGUUGAAAUUUUUUUGGGGGUUCAGAACUAAACGAACUUUGUGUGUGAAAGUAGAAAAGAGGAAGAGGAGGAGGAAGAGAGAGGGAUUGUGCUGCACGCCAUGGCUGGCUAUGCUUGGGUUGGGUUUAUGUGGUUUUGGAUUAUCGUCUAGAAAGGAUAGAGAUGACGGUAAAAGACAACCGAGCCUUUUGUUUUUUGGUUUUUUUUUUUAUAGAAAACUUUAUUUUAAGGUGUAUUAGUAUUUUCAUAUCAACUUUUGGUUAUAAUUAUUAAAAAUUUAAAAUGAUGGUUAGAAUUCUAUUUGGGAUCCGAAAUUUGGUUAUUUUUCCAAAUUUCCCCAAAUACUUUUUAGCAAAGUUGCCAUAUAGUAUAUAUACUAUGUAAGUAGACAUAACUUUUUGGAAGACACAUGAUGCCGAUUUUAUGUUUGGUGCUUUUCGAUCACAUAAUUCUGGCACAUUUCUCCUCCAUGGCAAAUCAAUCUUCCAUGCGUUCCUGCAUAUACGAUGAAUUGGAAAUGUUGUCGUAGCUGCUAUUAAAAUCAACUUUUCUAAUAAUAUAAUGAAGCAACUUGAAAGGGGGAACAUAUAACUCUGCAUAUAUAUAUAUAUAUAUAUAUAUAUAUAUAUAUAUAUAUGAAGUCGAGUGAGAUCUACAUAAAGGAGUCUCAUAUUUUUAUGAGAGAUGUAGUAUGAAAAACGCAGUCAUGUCCUACGAUUGUUUCUCUUAAAUUUGGUUGAAACCCAUGAACCAUGCAUGGCUGAGAUUUACUUGUUUUCUUGAUGGCACGUACCCAAUAUCCAACCAUCACCAAAGCCGUGAUUACUCAUGAAUUCUAUUUCUAGCCUGAAAAAAGAUAAGGUUUAUAACCCACCAUACUAAAUUCAAACAGCUACCAUAUCAUCAUAAAAUUGAAAACAUACAACUAAAUGAUCUACAUUUUUUCUAUUCCAUUAGAGAAAAUCAAACUCAGACGACGAGAUGGAUCGCUAUAAAAAAACAAUCUACAUUAAUAUAAAAGUAGAUAAAUUAUAGGGAAAAUUAGGUUCACAUCCUUCUUUUUAUUACUCCAUUGAUUAAAAUCCUAUUCAUUUUCAAUUUUCGAUCAAGGUCCUUGGGUAUUAAUAACAUCAUUAAUUAUUUGAAUAAUAAAAUAUUUUUAUUUUUAAAUAUAUUCCUUUAAUGUUAAAAAUGUUACAAUUAGUAUAUUUAUAUUUAUGGCUAAAUUUUUUAUCACAUAUUUUUAUUUUUAUUUUUUACUUAUUUUUAAUUUGCAAAUAUUUUUUAAUUUGUACCAAUUUUCUUUUCAUUUUUAAUUUGUACCCAUAUAUUAGUUUCUUUUUGUGCCCAUAUUUUUUAAAAUUUUAUUUGUGUUUGUACCCAUGUGUAUACCGUCACGUGACAUUGUAUAUUUAAUCAAUGAUAGAAAUAUUACAUAUGGUAUAUUUAUGUUUUAUGCCUAAACUUUGUAUCAUAUAUUUAUAUUUUUAGUUUGUACCCAUUUUUAAUUUGCACCAUUUUUUUUAGUUUUAUUUUGUACGCAUGUAUUAAUUUCUUUUAGCGCCUAUAUUUUUAAAAAUUCAUUUGUAUUCAUAAUUUUUAAUCUUUUAUUUGUACCCUAAUUUAUUUCUAAUGUACCCAUUCUUCUUUAUUAAAUUACCACUUUGUUAUAUGUGAAAUGUACCAAUUUUUUUAACACUAUGGAUACAUUCUUUUGCCAUUUAUUAUUUCUUAUUUUACAUAGUUUUUAUCCAUUAUUCAAUCAAAAUGUUUGAAUUUUUUUAUUGUAACCGUUUCUAAUAGUAUUAUAAUGAGAGAUUUUAAAUUUAUAGGAUUAUAAAUCUCAUAAAAUAUCAAACAAUUAAUGUCAAAACUAUAAAAUUAUAAAUAUUAAUAGUAAUAUAAUGAGGUGUACAAAGUUAAGGGACCUUGAUCAAACUUUGAAUACUAUUAAGGUUUUAAUCAAAGAAUGUUAAGGAUUAGGGACCGUAUCCAAAAUAUCCCAAAAUUAUAAUAAUCAAGCCAUUAGCUUGCAACAAUUGCUGCGACAUUACAUCACACAAUUCACGCCAAUUCAACAAACACACAAAACACAGUUCAUCGAGAGAUACUCUAUUAAACAGGGUGUUCACUUUUUGACCCGUGACAAACUUGUAUUUGUCGUGUUACGCUACUAAGAUGAUAUCUUUUGAUUGGAAGAGAGAACUUCUCUUCUUCAUUCUCACUUACAACACAUAUGCCUACCAAUCACUACUCAUUUCAUAAAUAUAUACACAAUUUAUAACAAUACCAUUACAACACACAUGAAUCAAUAAACAAAUACAAACCAACUGGAAUUUUGAAGUAUAACUUGAAAACAAAACCAAAAGUAUGAAUCUGCUGGACUAACCCAUGUUUCACCUGCAGCUCCAACUUGUUACUUCUGAGUGUCUCUCAGGUGGUGUAGUAGAAUACCGGGUGGAGCAUGAGGUGAAUGAGCAUGAUGCAGGCACACGACAAGGACAGGAACAGCAGCCCGUAAACGACUCUGAAACCCAUAUAAGUAUAUAUUGUGAGUUUAUAACGACCCUACUAUUGGUUUCUCAGUCUCUAUCAGAUCAGAGAUCCAAAGAAGACACAUCUUUAUAGAGAGAGAGAGAGAGAGAGAGAGAGAGAGAGAGAGGUGGAGCGGUGGAGGGAUUGGAAUUUGGAUUUAAAGUGGAUAAGGGUUUUUAUUUUGAGAAGAUUUGAAUGUUUGAAUUAUGUUUUCAUCCCAUACUGUACGUACGUGUCGUGAAAGGCAACUUCGACUUUGACACGUGGGAAGUUGGAUUGAGGGAGUGAGUGCGUGUGGGGGCAUGGUUUAGUGCACUUGUAUGCUUGCACAUGUAAGCUUAAAUAUACGACCAUACACCCACUGCAUGCAUAGCUACCAUGUGCAUUUAUUUGUAUAACUUGGUUUAGGGUUUACAGUCUUUUACAUGGACUCCCUCUGGUGAGGGAUUUGACGUUCUAAUUAUUCAUCUCUUAGAUUUUCUCUAAAAGAUUAUGCUUCCAGAAAUUACUCUAAUUCAAACCUAUUUGUCGUUAGAUUAAACGAUAGCCAUAUUUUUCUUUAAAAAAUCGUAUUUGUUUGUUUUUUUUUCCUGUUAUAAUUAGAUGUCUUAAUAAUUUUAAAUUUGUCUAAUCUUUUGUAAGAUUUAAAGAAAAAAUUACUCUUCAAUUUAAAGAAAAAAUUACUCUUCAAUUAAUUAGUAUGUUAAAUCUAGAGAAGUGGAGCUACAAAGAACUAACAUGUUAUAUAACUCAUUAACUUCUACGAAUCGGCACAAAAAUGAAUCAACGAAGUAGCAUGACUUGAAAGUAGGUAUAAUUUUUGAAACUUUUGAUUACCUUCAUGUCCUGCUCUACUGACUGAUAGGGAUUUUACCACCUACAAAAGUAGGGAUAAAAUCACACAAAAUACUUGCAUGAGAACAAGGGUGUUGUAGUAUAAAUGGCUAAGUAAGGUCGUUUCCGCAGGGAUUAUUUAAAACAAUUUAUGAGAAACCCUAAUCCUAGUUAACUAUUUAAAAACAAAGAUUGGAAAAUGGCAAUUUAAUAACCUAAAUUAAGAGAAACGAAAUUAAUUAAAAAGGCUAAUUAAAAUCUGCAAUUUUUAGAGAAAGAUAAAGCAAACAAUUUUUUUAGAUUUCGAAAUGAGAAAAUACUAGGGUUCCACCAUCACCCUAACAAUUCUACAUAGUUCUUCUAAUUCCUUAUGAAUUAGACAUGGAUAUUUUGAAGGUUAGGUUUUCCUAAAGUAUGCCCUACUUGGAACCCCCAACAUAGAACGUAUAUCUAACCAUGCAACCCGUCCGUGGUGUCCAGAUCGAAUGUAAAUAUGCAAGACUCAUUAAGUUUUGUGAAAAACUUUUGAAAAACCAUGUAACUCCUAAGACGUGUCAUCCAUCCUAAGUAGCUACACAUGUUAACCACAAGAAGCCUUAGUCAAUUUUAGGGACAGCCCUUCGCCAAAAUUGCAUCAAAUUACUAUUCUAAUUAUCUUAAUGGUCGCAAAUCACUAAGAAAAAUAGAUAGUUUAAAGCACAGUGAUUAACAAUCCAAAACUUGCAUGCAUAAAUUCAAAAGAAAAUUAAAAAGAGACUACAUAUUCUUGCUUAGGAUCAUGGCUUCACCCUAGCAAAAAGGGUUAGUUACGCAUAUUCAUAAUUAAAAUCAACAUAAUUAUUAAACUAGAAAAAGAAUGAAAACACCUUGUAGAAUAAAUUCUGAAAAUCUCUAAAGCUCUAGCCAAAAUCUUCUUCUCAAAUCUUGCGUACGUUCCCCCGGACCUAGGUCUGCCAAAGGGCUUAUUUAUACUACUCUCAAUAAAAUCCUCCUAAUAAAAGGUCUUAGAAUAAGAAUAGGAAACUAAAUAAAUUGAAAUAAAAUAGGAAACAUAAUCCUAAAUUAACUUGGUAAAUUCGCCAAGAAAU